Molecule: ribosomal RNA, 716 nt
Filed under: uncultured bacterium
Lineage: Bacteria
Description: bacterial SSU rRNA
Rfam family: Bacterial small subunit ribosomal RNA
Source: RNAcentral
GAACCUGCCCUCGAGUGGGGAAUAACUAUCGGAAACGAUAGCUAAUACCGCAUGAAGUCCUGAACUGCAUGGUUCAGGAUGAAAGCUUUAUGCGCUCGGGGAUGGGCCUGCGUCGGAUUAGCUAGUAGGUAGGAUAACAGCCUACCUAGGCAACGAUCCGUAGCUGGUCUGAGAGGACGAUCAGCCACACUGGCACUGAGACACGGGCCAGACAACUACGGUUGGCAGCAGUGGGGAAUCUUGGGCAAUGGGCGAAAGUGACCCAGCCACGCCGCGUGGAGGAAGACACCCCUAUGGGCGUAAACUCCUUUUAUGUGGGAAGAAGGCCUUCCUCGGGAAGGUUUGACGGUACCGCAUGAAUAAGCACCGGCUAACUCCGUGCCAGCAGCCGCGGUAAUACGGAGGGUGCAAGCGUUGUCCGGAUUCACUGGGUGUAAAGGGUGUGUAGGCGGAGUGUCAGUCAGAGGUGAAAGCCCACGGCUUAACCGUGAAUUGCCUUUGAUACUGCAGCUCUUGAGUCUCGGAGAGGUCGCUGGAAUUCGUGGUGUAGCGGUGAAAUGCGUAGAUAUCACGAGGAACACCAGAGGCGUACGGGGCGACUGGACGAGUACUGACGCUGAGGCACGAAAGCGUGGGGAGCAAACAGGAUUAGAUACCCUGGUAGUCCACACCGUAAACGAUGAAUGCCAGACGUCGGGCAGUAUACUGUUCGGUGU